Molecule: ribosomal RNA, 459 nt
Filed under: uncultured bacterium
Lineage: Bacteria
Description: partial 16S ribosomal RNA
Rfam family: Bacterial small subunit ribosomal RNA
Source: RNAcentral
CCUACGGGUGGCAGCAGUGAGGGAUAUUGGUCAAUGGGCGGAAGCCUGAACCAGCCAAGUAGCGUGCGGGAUGAAGGCCCUACGGGUCGUAAACCGCUUUUGCACGGGGAUAACACCCGCCACUUGUGGAAGUCUGCAGGUACCGUGCGAAUAAGGGCCGGCUAAUUCCGUGCCAGCAGCCGCGGUAAUACGGAGGGCCCGAGCGUUAUCCGGAUUCAUUGGGCUUAAAGGGAGGGGGGGGGGGCGUUCAAGCCAGCGGUAAAAUCGCGCGGCUCAACCGCGCCCCGCAGUUGAAACUGGGCGCCUUGAGUGCACAACAGGCAGGCGGAAUUCGUGGUGUAGCGGUGAAAUGCGUAGAUAUCACGAGGAACCCCGAUGGCGAAGGCAGCCUGCCGGGGUGCGACUGACGCUGAGGCUCGAAGGUGCGGGGAUCAAACAGGAUUAGAUACCCUUGUAGUC